This 253-nucleotide ribosomal RNA is filed under the name uncultured bacterium. RNAcentral's name for it is "partial 16S ribosomal RNA". It matches the Rfam family "Bacterial small subunit ribosomal RNA", at positions 524 to 776 of the family's 1533-position model. The record is from RNAcentral.
UACGAAGGGGGCUAGCGUUGUUCGGAAUUACUGGGCGUAAAGCGCGCGCAGGCGGCUAUCCAAGUCAGUGGUGAAAGCCCGGAGCUCAACUCCGGAACUGCCAUUGAAACUGUUUAGCUUGAGGACGAGAGAGGUGAGUGGAAUUCCCAGUGUAGAGGUGAAAUUCGUAGAUAUUCGCAAGAACACCAGUGGCGAAGGCGGCUCACUGGCCCGGUACUGACGCUGAGGUGCGAAAGCGUGGGGAGCAAACAGG